RNAcentral lists this ribosomal RNA (483 nucleotides) under uncultured bacterium. RNAcentral's name for it is "bacterial SSU rRNA". It matches the Rfam family "Bacterial small subunit ribosomal RNA", at positions 28 to 526 of the family's 1533-position model. The record is from RNAcentral.
GACGAACGCUGGCGGCGUGCUUAACACAUGCAAGUCGAGCGGAAAGGCCCCUUCGGGGGUACUCGAGCGGCGAACGGGUGAGUAACACGUGAGUAAUCUGCCCCGGACUUUGGGAUAGCCACCGGAAACGGUGAUUAAUACCGGAUAUGACAUGGCUCCGCAUGGGGUUGUGUGGAAAGUUUUUUCGGUUCGGGAUGUGCUCGCGGCCUAUCAGCUUGAUGGUGGGGUAAUGGCCUACCAUGGCUUCGACGGGUAGCCGGCCUGAGAGGGUGACCGGUCACACUGGGACUGAGACACGGCCCAGACUCCUACGGGAGGCAGCAGUGGGGAAUAUUGGACAAUGGGCGGAAGCCUGAUCCAGCAACGCCGCGUGAGGGAUGACGGCCUUCGGGUUGUAAACCUCUUUCAGCACAGACGAAGCGCAAGUGACGGUAUGUGCAGAAGAAGCACCGGCCAACUACGUGCCAGCCGCCGCCGUAACAC